CCCAGACUCCUACGGGAGGCAGCAGUGGGGGAUAUUGCACAAUGGGGGAAACCCUGAUGCAGCGACGCCGCGUGAGUGAAGAAGUAUUUCGGUAUGUAAAGCUCUAUCAGCAGGGAAGAAAAAAGACGGUACCUGACUAAGAAGCCCCGGCUAACUACGUGCCAGCAGCCGCGGUAAUACGUAGGGGGCAAGCGUUAUCCGGAUUUACUGGGUGUAAAGGGAGCGUAGACGGCAAUACAAGUCGGAAGUGAAAUACCCGGGCUCAACCUGGGAACUGCUUUGGAAACUGUAUGGCUGGAGUGCUGGAGAGGUAAGCGGAAUUCCUAGUGUAGCGGUGAAAUGCGUAGAUAUUAGGAGGAACACCAGUGGCGAAGGCGGCUUACUGGACUGUAACUGACGUUGAGGCUCGAAAGCGUGGGGAGCAAACAGGAUUAGAUACCCCCGUAU
This 447-nucleotide ribosomal RNA is filed under the name uncultured bacterium. RNAcentral describes it as "bacterial SSU rRNA". It matches the Rfam family "Bacterial small subunit ribosomal RNA", at positions 330 to 793 of the family's 1533-position model. The record is from RNAcentral.